RNAcentral lists this small RNA (667 nucleotides) under Oryza sativa Japonica Group (Japanese rice). RNAcentral describes it as "sRNA Os03g0244800". Lineage: Eukaryota; Viridiplantae; Streptophyta; Magnoliopsida; Poales; Poaceae. The record is from RNAcentral.
GCUUGGUUCUUCGCCGGAAUGUUGGCCAGCGUCACGUCACUACACCGGCAAUGAUUCACCCCAGGAGAGUUCGAGAGCUCCACCAGCUGAUUUCGAGCUCGCGCUGAUCGACCUCAUGCAUGCGAACCGACGCCCUUGCCGCUGGAUCGAUCUUCUCUCGGCACGAAUCAAGCUUCUCAAACCUCAAAAUCGAGUUCUUGUUGCUGGGGUCGACGCCCUCCCCUCCGAACUGAAGCGAAUCGAUGUAUGGAUGGAGCUCCUUAAUCUGUGACUCGACAUAACCCACCGCUCGGUUUGCUCUGGUAUGAAUCAGCCAUUGCCUAGCUGCAAAACCCAUCUUUCUUCUUUGCUUUCUCUUGUUUUUUUUCUUUUCUCUCAUUUUUGCUUCCGUGUGAAUGGAGAUGGAUAAAAGGAUAAACCACCAGUCAUUUUCUUUUAGUUGCUGUUUCUGGUGUUGAUUUCAAUCUAAAGCUGUGCGGGAGAUGAGCUAGGAAAGCAAAAACCAAACUCUUUCUUUUUCUUCAUCGGUAGACUACUCACGCUCAUAUGACAGCACAAAUGGCUACAAAGAUGGAGUACAUUCUUGAUCGUACUGUGUAUCCAAAAUUAAUUGUUUAAUAGCUUUUAUGUAGUUAGCACAAUAGCCAAUCUAUUGUAUUAGUUAGCU